This 937-nucleotide ribosomal RNA is filed under the name Bacillus sp. JZHS29. RNAcentral describes it as "bacterial SSU rRNA". It matches the Rfam family "Bacterial small subunit ribosomal RNA", at positions 355 to 1288 of the family's 1533-position model. The record is from RNAcentral. Lineage: Bacteria; Bacillati; Bacillota; Bacilli; Caryophanales; Bacillaceae.
GGGGGUGCACUCCGCAUGGACGAAGUCUGACGGAGCAACGCCGCGUGAGUGAUGAAGGUUUUCGGAUCGUAAAGCUCUGUUGUUAGGGAAGAACAAGUGCAAGAGUAACUGCUUGCACCUUGACGGUACCUAACCAGAAAGCCACGGCUAACUACGUGCCAGCAGCCGCGGUAAUACGUAGGUGGCAAGCGUUGUCCGGAAUUAUUGGGCGUAAAGGGCUCGCAGGCGGUUUCUUAAUCUGAUGUGAAAGCCCCCGGCUCAACCGGGGAGGGUCAUUGGAAACUGGGAAACUUGAGUGCAGAAGAGGAGAGUGGAAUUCCACGUGUAGCGGUGAAAUGCGUAGAGAUGUGGAGGAACACCAGUGGCGAAGGCGACUCUCUGGUCUGUAACUGACGCUGAGGAGCGAAAGCGUGGGGAGCGAACAGGAUUAGAUACCCUGGUAGUCCACGCCGUAAACGAUGAGUGCUAAGUGUUAGGGGGUUUCCGCCCCUUAGUGCUGCAGCUAACGCAUUAAGCACUCCGCCUGGGGAGUACGGUCGCAAGACUGAAACUCAAAGGAAUUGACGGGGGCCCGCACAAGCGGUGGAGCAUGUGGUUUAAUUCGAAGCAACGCGAAGAACCUUACCAGGUCUUGACAUCCUCUGACAACCCUAGAGAUAGGGCUUUCCCUUCGGGGACAGAGUGACAGGUGGUGCAUGGUUGUCGUCAGCUCGUGUCGUGAGAUGUUGGGUUAAGUCCCGCAACGAGCGCAACCCUUGAUCUUAGUUGCCAGCAUUCAGUUGGGCACUCUAAGGUGACUGCCGGUGACAAACCGGAGGAAGGUGGGGAUGACGUCAAAUCAUCAUGCCCCUUAUGACCUGGGCUACACACGUGCUACAAUGGACAGAACAAAGGGCUGCGAGACCGCAAGGUUUAGCCAAUCCCACAAAUCUGGUCU